RNAcentral lists this ribosomal RNA (1154 nucleotides) under Candidatus Profftia adelgis. RNAcentral describes it as "bacterial SSU rRNA". It matches the Rfam family "Bacterial small subunit ribosomal RNA", at positions 202 to 1339 of the family's 1533-position model. Lineage: Bacteria; Pseudomonadati; Pseudomonadota; Gammaproteobacteria; Enterobacterales; Enterobacteriaceae. The record is from RNAcentral.
AAGUGGGGGACCUUCGGGCCUCACGCCAUCAGAUGUACCCAGAUGAGAUUAGCUAGUAGGUGGGGUAAUGGCUCACCUAGGCUAUGAUCUCUAGCUGGUCUGAGAGGAUGACCAGCCACACUGGAACUGAGACACGGUCUAGACUCCUACGGGAGGCAGCAGUGGGGAAUAUUGCACAAUGGGCGCAAGCCUGAUGCAGCCAUGCCGCGUGUAUGAAGAAAGCCUUCGGGUUGUAAAGUACUUUCAGCAAGAAAGAAAGUAUUUUAGUUAAUAACUAAAAUAAUUGACGUUACUUGCAAAAGAAGCACCGGCUAACUCCGUGCCAGCAGCCGCGGUAAUACGGAGGGUGCGAGCGUUAAUCGGAAUUACUGGGCUUAAAGCGUACGUAGGCGGUUAAUUAAGUUAGAUGUGAAAUCCCCGAGCUUAACUUGGGAAUUGCAUUUAAAACUGGUUAGCUAGAGUCUUGUAGAGGGGGGUAGAAUUCUAGGUGUAGCGGUGAAAUGCGUAGAUAUCUAGAGGAAUACCAGUGGCGAAGGCGGCCCCCUGGACAAAGACUGACGCUCAGGUACGAAAGCGUGGGGAGCAAACAGGAUUAGAUACCCUGGUAGUCCACGCCGUAAACGAUGUCGACUUGGAGGUUGUGCCCUUGAGGUGUGGCUUCCGGAGCUAACGCGUUAAGUCGACCGCCUGGGGAGUACGGCCGCAAGGCUAAAACUCAAAUGAAUUGACGGGGGCCCGCACAAGCGGUGGAGCAUGUGGUUUAAUUCGAUGCAACGCGAAAAACCUUACCUACUCUUGACAUUCAGAGAAUUUGCUAGAGAUAGCUUAGUGCCUUCGGGAGCUUUGAAACAGGUGCUGCAUGGCUGUCGUCAGCUCGUGUUGUGAAAUGUUGGGUUAAGUCCCGCAACGAGCGCAACCCUUGUCCUUUGUUGCCAGCACGUAAAGGUGGGAACUCAAAGGAGACUGCCGGUGAUAAGCUGGAGGAAGGUGGGGAUGACGUCCAGUCAUCAUGGCCCUUACGAGUAGGGCUACACACGUGCUACAAUGGCAUAUACAAAGAGCAGCAAACUCGCGAGAGCAAGCGAACCUCAUAAAGUAUGUCGUAGUCCGGAUUGGAGUCUGCAACUCGACUCCAUGAAGUCGGAAUCGCUAGU